UACGUAGGGUGCAAGCAUUAAUCGGAUUUAUUGGGCGUAAAGGGCGCGUAGGCUGGAACGUAAGUCAGAUGUGAAAUCCCGGGGCUCAACCCCGGAACUGCAUUUGAAACUGUGUUUCUAGAGGGUAGGCGGAGAAAACGGAAUUCCACAAGUAGCGGUGAAAUGCGUAGAUAUGUGGAAGAACACCAGUGGCGAAGGCGGUUUUCUAGCUUAUACCUGACGCUGAGGCGCGAAAGCAAGGGGAGCAAACAGG
Molecule: ribosomal RNA, 253 nt
Filed under: uncultured bacterium
Lineage: Bacteria
Description: partial 16S ribosomal RNA
Rfam family: Bacterial small subunit ribosomal RNA
Source: RNAcentral